RNAcentral lists this ribosomal RNA (253 nucleotides) under uncultured bacterium. Its description in RNAcentral is "partial 16S ribosomal RNA". It matches the Rfam family "Bacterial small subunit ribosomal RNA", at positions 524 to 776 of the family's 1533-position model. The record is from RNAcentral.
UACGUAGGUGGCGAGCGUUAUUCGGAUUCACUGGGCGUAAAGGGUCCGUAGGGGGUCUGCCAAGUCUGAUGUGAAAUCCCGCGGCUCAACUGCGGAACUGCAUUGGAUACUGGCGGGCUGGAGUCUGCGAGGGGUGAGCGGAAUUCCUGGUGUAGCGGUGGAAUGCGUAGAUAUCAGGAAGAACACCGAUGGCGAAGGCGGCUCACUGGCGCAGUACUGACCCUGAGGGACGAAAGCGUGGGGAGCAAACAGG